AAUUGUAUGGCGCAAUGGUAGCGCAUUUGUUUUUGUAACGGGAAAACCUGGGUUCGAUUCCUGGUGCAACCU
Molecule: transfer RNA, 72 nt
Filed under: Gaeumannomyces tritici R3-111a-1
Lineage: Eukaryota; Fungi; Ascomycota; Sordariomycetes; Magnaporthales; Magnaporthaceae
Description: Gaeumannomyces graminis var. tritici R3-111a-1 tRNA
Rfam family: tRNA
About the family: Transfer RNA (tRNA) molecules are approximately 80 nucleotides in length. Their secondary structure includes four short double-helical elements and three loops (D, anti-codon, and T loops).
Source: Rfam by way of RNAcentral